This 441-nucleotide ribosomal RNA is filed under the name uncultured bacterium. Its description in RNAcentral is "partial 16S ribosomal RNA". It matches the Rfam family "Bacterial small subunit ribosomal RNA", at positions 338 to 795 of the family's 1533-position model. The record is from RNAcentral.
CCUACGGGUGGCAGCAGAGGGGAAUAUUGCACAAUGGGGGAAACCCUGAUGCAGCAACGCCGCGGGAGUGAAGAAGGUUUUCGGAUUGUAAAGCUCUGUUAGCAGGGAAGAGGAAGGACGGUACCUGCAGAGGAAGCCACGGCUAACUACGUGCCAGCAGCAGCGGUAAUACGGAGGUGGCAAGCGUUGUUCGGAAUAAAUGGGGGGAAAGGAUUCGUAGGGGGUUAAACAAGUUAUAUGGUAAAUAUAUAGGCUUAACCUGUAGAAAGCAUAUAAAACUGUUUAACUAGAGUGCAGGAGAGGUAAGUGGAAUUCCUGGUGUAGCGGUGAAAUGCGUAGAGAUUAGGAAGAACACCAGUGGCGAAGGCGACUUACUGGACUGUAACUGACGCUGAGGCGUGAUAGCGUGGGGAGCAAACAGGAUUAGAUACCCGAGUAGUC